CCGCGCCGCGGGCCACCACCUCGCCCCGGGGAGCGGCCUUCCGCCCGGUGCCGCCCUGGCGGCCGGAAGAGCUAGUGCCCCCGAGCGCCCGGCCCGCCGCGGCCUGGGGGCAGGGGGCGGCGCGGCCGGCUGGUGCCUGCGUGGCCCUCGGGCGGCCGGCGGCGCCUGGUGCCCCGACCCCCGCCGGGAGCGUGGCCGCCGCCGCGCUCGGGGCCCUGGGCCUUGCCCGAGCUCUCGUCGCGGUCAGGCGGCCCCGAGGCCUUGCUUGGCCCUCCUCAGGGCCGCGCGCCCCUCGCAGCCAUCCCGGGGGCCCGGUGAGGUAGGUUCCGGCCGUGAGGCGGGCCCGCAGGCUGGGAUCGGGGCUCCUGCGGCCGCCGCCGCGGCAUGCUCCCGGAGCCGGGCACCCCGCCCGUGGGCGUCCCCGCGGUCUCUGCCCGAGCUCGUGCGCCCCGCUUCUCGGGCUCCGGGCAUCUCGGGUGCCCAGGCCUCCCAGGGUCAGCCUUCGCCACGCGGCGGGCUGCUUGUCGGGUGGCCCGCGGGCGGCCAGGGCUAGAGCGCUCGGGCAGUGCCUUCGCUGCAGGGGCUCCGGCGGGAGGGCGCGGCGUUUCGGCGACCCUCCGUGGUCACACGGGCCAGGAGGACGCGAGCCCGAAGCCGAGCGCCGCGCGAGCCGAAGGAAGGGAAAGGGGACUUUUCCUUGGGAAAUGACAAAGGUGCCCCCAGGGAGUGGGGCCCCGCGCACGCGGACGGAGAGCUGGAGAAGACUGGGGUGUGAGCACACCCGCCAUACGUUCUCACUAAGUGCGAUCCCGCUAGUGUUGGGGGGAAGGCCUCACGUUAGAAAAGAAGUUCUUGACCUCUCACGGGGGCGCCGCGGGGCAGCGAAGAGACUGCAUUUCCUAGACUAAACCCUGGAGCAUCACUGGAGGCUGUUUGAGGGACCAUCUUUCCGGGGCAGUUCAUCCGGAAGGAAGUCAUCAGUGACUAAUUCCCUCAGUGAUGGCUGCCUUUCAGAAGGUUGCUAGAUCUUAGUCUGCAUUUGCUUCACAGUCUACUCAGGAUCAUUGUCUUUCCUGAACCUCUUAGUGCCUCAUAAUUACUUGUGAUCCAGACGUGCAUAAGUGAGCAGUGUCUAGAAGCGGCAAGGAAGCUGUGGCUCUGGUUGAAGAUAUAUAGACUGGAUCUGGGCAAUAGAAAGACUUUCACCGGUGUCCAGGAGACUGGCUUCCCCAUGAUGUGAGAAGAAAUGGAAUCUGAUCUCCAGGGUAGAAGUGGCUACCAGUCAGCCAGUUUGCUGAAGCAAAUCAUGGCUGCACCAAGGAGUCCCCAGGCAUACCCAUUCCCAUGCAAGAACUGCUCACAGGGACAGAAAUCAACCUUUCACAGCAACAACCCCAACCCCGAAGCUUCCCGCCAGCACUUCAGGCAGUUCUGCUGCCAGGAGGUAGCUGGCCCCCAUGAAGCUUUCAGCAAGCUCUGGGAACUCUGUUGUCAGUGGCUAAGGCCUAAGAUACAUUCAAAAGAGCAAAUGCUGGAGCUGCUGGUUUUGGAGCAGUUUCUGACCAUCUUGCCGGAGGAGAUCCAGACCCGGGUGAAGGAGCAACAUCUAGAAAAUGGUGAAUAAGCUGUGGCUCUGGUUGAGGAUAUACAGACUGGGUCUGGACAACAAGUGAAAAGAGACAUUCAGAACCUGGUCUUAGAUUCUGAGGACUGGAAAGUGCUGAACGAAGAGACAACCCUGUUGGGAGCAGCUAGAGAGUCCCCGAGAUCCCACCUGAAACAGGUUCAUCCAGAGGAAAGCACCUUGGAAGGGUUAUGGAGCUCACAACAAAGAGCAGGGGAACAGUCAGAAGGGACCGGUCCCAUGUGAGGACAGAGCCGGAUCCCUCUGUCAGGAAGGACAGACGCACGUGGGCUUUGCACAGAGGGCCAUCUACAAGGGGGUGACAUGGAAGAAGGACAGAAAGAACUCUCUGGGUAAGGAGGUCCCGUCCCACAGGUCCAGGCUGGCUGUGUUCAUUUGCUAAGAGAGAGACAUAGACCAGAAGAUGCAAGAGUGAAGGCCACAGACAGGAGUGUGGAGACUGUUGGGGCGAGGGAAGCAGGAGACAAACAGGGAGAGUCUGAGCGUAGGAAGGACACGCAGACUGUAGGAAAGGUAAAGCUAGGCGCCAGAGGGGUGAGGACAGGGCGGACAACACCUGUGACAGGGAGCGGGAACAAGGCGGGGGCAGGACGCAGGAAGCAAUGGGGACUGAGUGCGGAGGUAAAGCCUGCGGCCGCGUGUAGCUUAAAAGAACGCUGAAAAGAACGAGGCACCAUCCGAGGGACACCACAGCGACGCGAGUGAACGUGCGCUCACACACCUUGGAGAGCAUUCCCGAUGGGCAGGGGUGAGCCUGGCAUGCACCUGAGCUGUGCUGCUGUGCUACUAGGCCCAGACCUUCAGGAGGCAGCCAGCCCUUGCAGGGUGUCACACCAGGAGAGCCACACGCCCUCAGGAAUUACCCCAACUGUGGACAUGGGCGAGCAUCACAGGUCACACAGGUCACCUCACGAGAAAUGGGGGGGAGGGGAUUCAGGAGAAAGAGAAACAAAAGGGCGGCUCUGGUAAAUACUCCACAACCCCUUAUCAUCAGAGGAUGGCCUUUCCAUUCUGCUGAACGUCUGUGUUUCAGGAGAGGA
Nyctereutes procyonoides (raccoon dog) is the source of this 2685-nucleotide RNA transcript. It is a transcript of the gene named zinc finger and SCAN domain-containing protein 32-like, with no coding region annotated. The transcript is spliced from 5 exons. The record is from RefSeq and is a predicted model, not a curated record. NCBI's taxonomy places the organism in Eukaryota, Metazoa, Chordata, Mammalia, Carnivora, Canidae.